GGGGGAUUAGCUCAGUUGGCUUAGAGCACCUGCCUUGCACGCAGGGGGUCAAGGGUUCGAGUCCCUUAUUCUCCACCA
RNAcentral lists this transfer RNA (78 nucleotides) under Anaerolineaceae bacterium. RNAcentral describes it as "tRNA-Ala". It matches the Rfam family "tRNA". Rfam says of the family: Transfer RNA (tRNA) molecules are approximately 80 nucleotides in length. Lineage: Bacteria; Bacillati; Chloroflexota; Anaerolineae; Anaerolineales; Anaerolineaceae. The record is from RNAcentral. RNAcentral also lists the same sequence under 2 other names.